RNAcentral lists this ribosomal RNA (497 nucleotides) under uncultured bacterium. Its description in RNAcentral is "partial 16S ribosomal RNA". It matches the Rfam family "Bacterial small subunit ribosomal RNA", at positions 28 to 507 of the family's 1533-position model. The record is from RNAcentral.
GAUGAACGCUGGCGGCGUGCUUAAUACAUGCAAGUCGAGCGAACAGACGAGGAGCUUGCUCCUCUGACGUUAGCGGCGGACGGGUGAGUAACACGUGGAUAACCUACCUAUAAGACUGGGAUAACUUCGGGAAACCGGAGCUAAUACCGGAUAAUAUAUUGAACCGCAUGGUUCAAUAGUGAAAGACGGUUUUGCUGUCACUUCUAGAUGGAUCCGCGCCGCAUUAGCUAGUUGGUAAGGUAACGGCUUACCAAGGCAACGAUGCGUAGCCGACCUGAGAGAGUGGUCGGCCGCACUGGAACGGAGACACGGUCCAGGCUCCUACGGGAGGCAGCAGUAGGGAAUGUUCCGCAAUGGGCGGAAGCUUGACGGAGCGACGCCGCGUGAGUGAUGAAGGUCUUCGGAUCGUAAAACUCUGUUAUUAGGGAAGAACAAAUGUGUAAGUAACUAUGCACGUCUUGACGGUACCUGAUCAGAAAGCCACGGCUAACUACGUG